Molecule: long non-coding RNA, 471 nt
Filed under: Capsella rubella
Lineage: Eukaryota; Viridiplantae; Streptophyta; Magnoliopsida; Brassicales; Brassicaceae
Description: long non-coding RNA (CRUB_LNC001321)
Source: RNAcentral
CGGUCUGGCUGCUGCUUACAGUUACAAGUUGCCUCCCAGACUAUUAGUUCAUAUAGAUUGAUCAAAACAUGUCUGCAUGUGUACGGUUUUAUAUGUUAAAUUUGUUGCACCAUGCAUGAGUAUUUAAAAUGGAUCAGAUUAUGCUUUCCUUGGAAUCGAUAUCAUGUAUGCUUUGUUAUAUCACUUAUUUAUUUGUUUUUAGUUCUACUAUGUAUUAGUUCUAAUUAAUGUUUUUUGUUUAUGUAUAAUUAAUUAUAUAUCCUUUACAUCAUAUUGUUAGGAUUUGACUGUAUUGCAGCCAGUAAUUAACUUUAUUAUAAUCAAUCCCUUUAUAUAGAAACGAUAUAAGACAGAAAAAUAGUGUUUACAGACAAAAAAAAAAAAAAGGCAGAAAAUAGUAAAAUUCCAACUUGGUCAUGAAUUGAAAUGUCGUACCAUUUUAUAGCUAGCUGUACAUGGCCAAAAGACAAA